This 181-nucleotide unclassified non-coding RNA is filed under the name uncultured fungus. RNAcentral describes it as "sequence contains ITS1". Lineage: Eukaryota; Fungi. The record is from RNAcentral.
UUGAUUGAUUCAAAAUAUAACUCAGACGCAAAGAUGCAGUGUUGAGUGGUCCGCCGGGGGCCCCAAGACGCCCGAAGGCCGGGUCGCCCCCGAGGCAACAGGGUCAGAUAACAUGGGGUUGGAGGUCGGACCCGGAGGCCCUCACUCGGUAAUGAUCCCUCCGCAGGUUCACCUACGGAGA